Molecule: ribosomal RNA, 253 nt
Filed under: uncultured bacterium
Lineage: Bacteria
Description: partial 16S ribosomal RNA
Rfam family: Bacterial small subunit ribosomal RNA
Source: RNAcentral
CACGUAGGGGGCAAGCGUUGUCCGGAUUUAUUGGGCGUAAAGAGCUCGUAGGCGGUUUGUCGCGUCUGCUGUGAAAUCCCGAGGCUCAACCUCGGGCUUGCAGUGGGUACGGGCAGACUAGAGUGUGGUAGGGGAGACUGGAAUUCCUGGUGUAGCGGUGAAAUGCGCAGAUAUCAGGAGGAACACCGAUGGCGAAGGCAGGUCUCUGGGCCACUACUGACGCUGAGAAGCGAAAGCAUGGGGAGCGAACAGG